Non-coding RNA from Paramuricea clavata, 243 nucleotides. NCBI's taxonomy places the organism in Eukaryota, Metazoa, Cnidaria, Anthozoa, Malacalcyonacea, Plexauridae. The record is from the annotation of a GenBank genome assembly.
CGUAUUUACUCGAUUGAACGCCGCCCUCGAAUGAGCGCCGCAUUUGAGAUCAUUUUUUUUUAAAGAGCGCCGCCCCCCAAUGAGCGUCGCACUAAUUAUUUUCAAAUGCAGCGCUUAAUUGAUCCCUUUCAAAGCGACGAAUUUACGUCUUCUGAUGUCCAGGAGGCAUAUCCAACAACAGUUACAAUGCAGCAGUUGGACUCGGAACAUGAAGAGGACAGUGACAUUGAUAUUAACUUGUAA